RNAcentral lists this ribosomal RNA (822 nucleotides) under Triticum aestivum (bread wheat). Its description in RNAcentral is "partial small subunit ribosomal RNA". Lineage: Eukaryota; Viridiplantae; Streptophyta; Magnoliopsida; Poales; Poaceae. The record is from RNAcentral.
AUGUUGAAGAAGGAUCCAACCGUUGGUGCUGUGAAGAUACUUAAAGACUUGCAAGAUGAGCAUCAUGUCACACUUAACUAUCACACAGUGUGGAAAGGCAAACAAAAGGCAGCAGACGGCUUAUAUGGGAGUUGGGAAGAAAGUUUCAGGAUGUUGUACAAGUACAAGGCUGAAAUAGAAUUGAGGUCUCCGGGGAGUAUUGUUGAGAUUGAUACGACCACACAUGAAGGUGAAGUGCAUUUCAGCAAGCUAUUUAUCGCUUUCAAGCCUUGCAUAGAUGGUUUUGUGAAUGGAUGUAGGCCAUAUAUUAGCAUAGAUUCAACUCAUUUAAAUGGAAAGUGGAAUGGUCAGCUAGCUGUAGUCACUGCAUUGGAUGGUCACAAUUGGAUGUUCCCGGUGGCGUAUGGCUUUAUUGAGUCUGAAAAUGGAGAUAAUUGGGCUUGGUUCAUGAAUCAAGUGAAGAAGGCAAUAGGGGACCCUCCGGUAUUGGCUGUUUGUACUGAUGCUUGCAAGGGUCUUGAAAAUGCUGUUAAGAAGGUUUUUCCUCAAGCUGAGCAGCGAGAGUGCUUUAGGCAUAUGUGGCAUAAUUUUCAGAAAUAUUUUCAUGGUGAUGUGUUUGGAAGGUUGUGGCCUGCUGCUAGGGCAUAUAGGCCGGAAGAAUAUCAACAUCACAUGUCAAAGGUAUUUGAUGCAUCUGAGAAAGUAUAUCCUUACCAUAGGGAUUACCAUAAUCUGUUAUGGAUGAGGUGUAUGUUCAACCCUGCCAUCAAGUGUGACUACAUAAAUAACAAUCUCGCCGAGUGCUUCAACGCUUGGGUGUGA